This 566-nucleotide long non-coding RNA is filed under the name Elaeis guineensis (African oil palm). RNAcentral describes it as "long non-coding RNA (EGUI_LNC027725)". The record is from RNAcentral. Lineage: Eukaryota; Viridiplantae; Streptophyta; Magnoliopsida; Arecales; Arecaceae.
GCUUAGAGGUCGUCGUGGGAAAGAGCUCUUCCCUUCCAUCCGAUCUCGUCAUGUGGCCGAGCCUCGCCAUCGUUUUUAACCCUUGCUGGCGAAGUGGCGGAUGGAGCCCGGCUUUCUUAGGAGCCCGGGCGAAGUCUUUCUUGGGGAUGGAACCCGGCUCCCGUCGGAGUCCGGGUGAAGUUUACCGUGGCGGCGGAAUCCGGCUCCCGUAGGAGUCCGGGUGAAGCUUUCCUGGCGGCGGAACCUGGCUCCCGUAGGAGUCCGGGUGAAGUUUACCUUGACGGCGGAACCCGGCUCCCGUAGGAGUCCGGGUGAAGCUUUACAUGGCGGCGGAACCCAGCUCCCGUAGGAGUCCGGGUGAAGCUUUACCUUGGCGGCGGAACCCGGCUCCCGUAGGAGUCCGGGUGAAGCUUUACCUUGGCAGCGGAACCCGGCUCCCGUAGGAGUCCGGGUGGAGCUUUACAUGGCGGCAGAAUCCGGCUCCCGUAGGAGUCCGGGUGAAGCUUUACCUUGGCGGCGGAACCCGGCUCCCGUAGGAGUCCGGGUGAAGCUUUACCUGGCGGCNN